CCCUUAGAUGUCCGGGGCCGCACGCGCGCUACACUGAAGGAAUCAGCGUGGCUCUGUCCCUGGUCCGAAAGGAUUGGGAAACCCGUUGAAUCUCCUUCGUGAUAGGGAUUGGGGCUUGGAACUGUUCCCCAUGAACGAGGAAUUCCCAGUAAGCGCGAGUCAUAAGCUCGCGUUGAUUACGUCCCUGCCCUUUGUACACACCGCCCGUCGCUGCCCGGAACUGAGCCAUUUCGAGAAAAAUGGGGACAGACUGCUUGUGGGUGCGCAAGCACUUCUUGCAGAUUGAAACCAUCUUGAUCGGUAUGGCUUGAACCGGGCAAAAGUCGUAACA
Molecule: ribosomal RNA, 331 nt
Filed under: uncultured eukaryote
Lineage: Eukaryota
Description: partial 18S ribosomal RNA
Rfam family: Eukaryotic small subunit ribosomal RNA
Source: RNAcentral